GCUGGCGGCAUGCCUAAUACAUGCAAGUCGAGCGGAAUGAUGAGAGCUUGCUCUCUGAUUUUAGCGGCGGACGGGUGAGUAACACGUGGGCAACCUGCCCUACAGAUGGGGAUAACUCCGGGAAACCGGGGCUAAUACCGAAUAAUCAGUUUGUCCGCAUGGACAAACUCUGAAAGACGGUUUCGGCUGUCACUGUAGGAUGGGCCCGCGGCGCAUUAGCUAGUUGGUGGGGUAAUGGCCUACCAAGGCAACGAUGCGUAGCCGACCUGAGAGGGUGAUCGGCCACACUGGGACUGAGACACGGCCCAGACUCCUACGGGAGGCAGCAGUAGGGAAUCUUCCACAAUGGACGAAAGUCUGAUGGAGCAAUGCCGCGUGAGCGAAGAAGGUUUUCGGAUCGUAAAGCUCUGUUGUAAGGGAAGAACACGUACGGGAGUAACUGCCCGUGCCAUGACGGUACCUUAUUAGAAAGCCACGGCUAACUACGUGCCAGCAGCCGCGGUAAUACGUAGGUGGCAAGCGUUGUCCGGAAUUAUUGGGCGUAAAGCGCGCGCAGGCGGUUCUUUAAGUCUGAUGUGAAAGCCCACGGCUCGAGCCGUGGAGGGUCNUUGGAAACUGG
Molecule: ribosomal RNA, 619 nt
Rfam family: Bacterial small subunit ribosomal RNA